UCAGGACGAACGCUGGCGGCAUGCCUAACACAUGCAAGUCGAACGGGGGUAGCAAUACCCUAGUGGCGAACGGGUGAGUAACACAUAAGCAAUCUGCCCUUCACAGGGGGAUAACAGCGGGAAACUGCUGCUAAUACCGCAUAAGACCACGGUACCGCAUGGUACAGGGGUAAAAACGAAUCAGUGGUGAAGGAUGAGCUUAUGUCCCAUUAGCUAGUUGGUGAGAUAACAGCCCACCAAGGCGACGAUGGGUAGCCGACCUGAGAGGGUGAUCGGCCACACUGGAACUGAGACACGGUCCAGACUCCUACGGGAGGCAGCAGUGGGGAAUAUUGGGCAAUGGAGGAAAAACCUCUUACCCAGCAAUGCCGCGUGAGUGAAGAAGGUCUUCGGAUUGUAAAGCUCUUUGAUUGGGGACGAAGAAAGUGACGGUACCCAAAGAACAAGCCCCGGCUAACUACGUGCCAGCAGCCGC
This 475-nucleotide ribosomal RNA is filed under the name uncultured bacterium. RNAcentral's name for it is "bacterial SSU rRNA". It matches the Rfam family "Bacterial small subunit ribosomal RNA", at positions 24 to 518 of the family's 1533-position model. The record is from RNAcentral.